Molecule: RNA transcript, 3519 nt
Organism: Mytilus californianus (California mussel)
Lineage: Eukaryota; Metazoa; Mollusca; Bivalvia; Mytilida; Mytilidae
Gene name: mediator of RNA polymerase II transcription subunit 19-like
Exons: 7
Source: RefSeq, a predicted model, not a curated record
AUUCAUUGAACGGAUCAAACAUGGUGGACAAUGAAUGAGGCAAUUCGAAGACCAGAGCAAGUGUCCCCUAAAUCCAGUCCCCGGGGGUCAAGAUCACCUGCAUAUCCCCGAGGAGAUUCGACUGGAACUCUGAAGACGACAAUAAGCUUAGGGAGAGUUCCAUCAGUAAUACAUUCAGGUCCAUUUUAUCUCGUCAAAGACACGGGAACCGGGACACACAGCACACAUAGCAAUGAGGCAUCAGAAAUGACCGGCAGUAAUAACCUUAUGAUUCAUUAUGGGUUAGAGCAUGCAUACAGUAGGUUCUGUAAGAAGGAAGGAAAAGAAGAAUUAAGUUCCUUCCUGCCACACCUUCCAGGGUAUAUAGAUUCACCAGGCAUACAGGAUAGUAGCUCUCUUAGAUCAGUAGCGGAGAAUCCACCUAAAGCAAACAAAGAUUUACAGCCUCUGUCUGGUGGUGCUCUAUCAGGAUUUAGACUACAUCCAGGACCUAUUCCAGAACAGUACAGAUUCAUGAGUCAGAUGCCUAAAAAGAAACACAAACCGAAGAAAAGGAAAGAAGAGAGGUCUGGAGCUUUACAAGAUUCACAAGAUAAUUCUGUAGAAAGUAAGGAUGAUAAAGUGAAGAAGAAAGCCAAACAAGAUGCUGAACAGAAGAAAGAUAAAAAGAAAAAGAAAGACAAGAAGAAGAAAAAAAGGAUGAAAGAUAAAGAUGAUGACUCUCAGUCUUGAAGGAAAUGGUGGUGAAAAUUAUGGUGUUCUCUCAUUCAGAAGGCAGCUAAUGACAUCAUGGAUAUUUAAAGACAGCCAUUGAUGUAUUAUAUAUCAUACUUAUCAUUUGAUAUUGGUAGACCUUCAGAUAUGUCUCAGGUCCUAGGUCAGAUCAUAUUUUGUUCAUUCCAAACAACUGAAUAGGAUUUAUAAAUGACAUGGAUUGUUUAAGGUGGAAAACAUGUUGUUUUUGUUUAUAUUGCUAUCAAUGAUUACAGUCAGAAUUACCACCAUCAUCAUGAUCAUAUUGUAUCUUGUAAAUUUUGAAGCUGAAAAUGUUGUUUUUGAAUUUUAAUUCACCCUACUUGAAUUGUAUUAUAAGAUAGAGGUUUUAAGAUUAGAUAACAACUAUUUGUAUAAUUUUACCUUCUGUGGUGGCUUAUACUUUUUUUAAGCAGCACUGUAGGAAAAAUCACACUAUCUCUGCAUAUUGUUUCUAAUUAAAACUUUUAUUUUGAAACUGGAAAUUGAUAAACAUUUUCCUUGGUUUCAUAUAAACAUGGUGGUCGGCAUAUACAAAAUCCAAUUUUACAAUAAUUGCUUACUUUUGUUAUAUUCAAAUAGCUUAUCUUCAUCUCUGUUUAAGUCAAGUUUGUGGGGUUAAGUAGAUGAUUUAAAUUUCAAAUCGAGGAUUCUGGUUUACAAAGCCAAAUUUGUGACCAAAGGGAAGUAAUUCAAAAUUUGAAUUGCAAAUUCCAGAUUCUUUCACAACCAAUGUUGUAAUAUGAACACAACUUCAAUGUUUUUUUUAAUUUUCCACUGAGUAAUGAACAUUUUGAAUAAAUCUGACACCAUGAUUUUUGAAACAACAAGCAUUUCAAUUUUCUCUUGAGUUAUUUUUCAUAAGCCAUAGAUGAUAUGCCUAAGCGUCUUGGUGAAUUUUAAAGUGCUAACACAAACAGAUAUAAAAAGCUAUUUGAUAACUUGUAUCAAUAAAUUUAAAGGUAUUACUUGAAUUAUGUGCUCCAGAUGAACUUAAGUGCUUUACAAGAAGAAAAAUAAUGUUUUUAUGUGUUAUGUAUAUCAGCAAUAUACUUGUCACACAGUUUUAUGGGUUUCUUUCUGUUGUCUUGCAUUGUUUACUUAUUUCAUAUUAUUCUCAUAGAGGAGUUCUUUUAGAACAGCAGGUAAAAAUUUGUAACUGGCGUAGACUGUAGUAGUGGUUUUUGAUGACACAGCUUUUAAUAAUGUAAGUUGUAUAUUUAUAAGUCCAAAUCACACAAGAUGUACAUAAUUUAGAUGGAAUACUCAACAAUAAAUUCUAUGAUUAUAUUGAACUUUUUUGGUUGAUUUGUAUUUCUGAAAUUUUUCAGUCAUUUUAAAUUAAUCAGGAUUAAGCACUAAAUUUUUAGAUACAAAAUCAAAAGGACUUUCUGAAUAAUGAUGUUUACUUAUCAGUCGGAAUUAUUACUAGCUUUUGGUAAAUAACAAAACUAGCAAUAUUGUCAUAACCUCUACUCAUUCAUGUCAUAAUAACAAAAAAUACUCUUAUGAUAUCAUUACUGAAUUAUUGCAUGUUUUUGAUGUAGUUCAGUGAAAAGAAGAGUGCCAUUUAACACUUUCUUAAAUGGAAUACAUUUAAGGAAAAUUACUUUUUACAACUUGAGUCAACAGGAAGUUUUAAAAGCAUUGUGAAAUUAACUUUAUUAAAGCAACUUAUUAGCCAUUUUUUGUCACAGACUUAAAGCAAACAAAUUAAGUAUUAAAUUACCUUUUCUAGCAAUUAUAUAUUUUUCAGGGAAUCCGCUGGCUUAGAUUUAAUACAAUUAGUUAAUUUGUUAAAAUAAUUAGGUAUGAUUAUUUCCAAUGACACAUUAGCAUGAUUAAGGAUUAAAUUGUCCACACCUGUUGGGUAUCCCUUUCGUCAUGAAUUGAUAUUAACAUAAUGAAACAAGAUAUACAUUCGUAAGAAUUUUUUAUUUGACUCAUUCACUGGCUGUAUGAAUUUUAUUUAAAAGCUUGUUUUCCUGCAGAAUGUGAAGAAAGUCGUUGAUAGUGCAAUUAAUUUAUUGUUUUUAUUGUUGAUUAUAUUGAUGCUGUUCUAUUCUUGUAUUAUAAUUUAGAUUGUUCCUUUAAACAUACAAGGUAGGGGGAGGCUCCUCUAGUUGCACAUAGUUAUGGAGGGUUGUAUUCUACCUUUUAUCCAUUAUGAAUAUAGCCUGAUAUUUAAAAUAACAUGGUUCCCCUGGUUUUUUUUUGUUGUGUUAAAUUUGUAUGCUUUUUUUUAGAACAACCCUGGAUCAUGCUUUUAUCUUUGCAAAGUAUGAAUCAUUUUAUAGAAAAUUAUGAUCAUAAUUUCAUAAAUUACAUUUUUUUCUGAUUCAUUUUGAAUUUAGAUUUUUAAAUCAAUUAUAGAAUCAAUGUUUGAUAUUGAUAAACAUUCUUAAAGAUAUAAAAAAAAGUAACAGAAAGAAUAAAAAAAUGAAGAAAAUUCACCAGCUUCAAAAUGCUGUUGGUUUAAAAAGGAUUAAAAAAGAAGUUGUUAAACUAUUAAAAAUUUGUUGAACAUACAUAGAAAGAUAUAGAAUACAUGUACUGCAAAUCUAAGCAAACUUGAAAAUUGCGUGACAAAAGCCCAUCACAUGAAAAAAGUCAACAGCUAUUAUUUUCAUAUUCUAAGUGAAUUUAAAUAUUCUGUAUUUAUGAUGAGUAUGCAAAGAGAUCUACAUAGUAUUUUGAUUGUUAUUUUUGUUUUGUAAAAAGUGCUGUGUAUUUUUUGUACAUAAUGGAUUAAAUGAAUUACAUAAA